RNAcentral lists this small nuclear RNA (86 nucleotides) under uncultured Isochrysis. RNAcentral describes it as "partial Dictyostelium signal recognition particle". Lineage: Eukaryota; Haptophyta; Isochrysidales. The record is from RNAcentral.
CAAGGUGCAGGCCGGCGGCAGAGCUAACGGCAAGCGAAAGGCGCUCGCGGGGGACCUGAUGGGGAGCGGCGGCGUGAAGCGGCCGC